UCCCUGGUGGUCCAGUGGCUAAGACUCCACACUCCCAGUGCAGGGACCCAGGUGCAAUUCCUGGUCAGGGAG
RNAcentral lists this transfer RNA (72 nucleotides) under Bos taurus (domestic cattle). It matches the Rfam family "tRNA". From Rfam's summary of the family: Transfer RNA (tRNA) molecules are approximately 80 nucleotides in length. Their secondary structure includes four short double-helical elements and three loops (D, anti-codon, and T loops). The record is from Rfam by way of RNAcentral. Lineage: Eukaryota; Metazoa; Chordata; Mammalia; Artiodactyla; Bovidae.